Molecule: ribosomal RNA, 253 nt
Filed under: uncultured bacterium
Lineage: Bacteria
Description: partial 16S ribosomal RNA
Rfam family: Bacterial small subunit ribosomal RNA
Source: RNAcentral
UACGUAGGGUGCGAGCGUUAAUCGGAAUUACUGGGCGUAAAGCGUGCGCAGGCGGUUUGCUAAGACCGAUGUGAAAUCCCCGGGCUUAACCUGGGAACUGCGCUUGUUACUGGCAAGCUGGAGUGUGGCAGAGGGGGGUGGAAUUCCACGUGUAGCAGUGAAAUGCGUAGAGAUGUGGAGGAACACCGAUGGCGAAGGCAGCCCCCUGGGCUAACACUGACGCUCAUGCACGAAAGCGUGGGGAGCAAACAGG